RNAcentral lists this long non-coding RNA (835 nucleotides) under Phasianus colchicus (ring-necked pheasant). RNAcentral describes it as "lncRNA (ENSPCLG00000016986.1)". Lineage: Eukaryota; Metazoa; Chordata; Aves; Galliformes; Phasianidae. The record is from RNAcentral.
AAGGAGGAUUUGGGGGUCUGAGAGUGCGAUUCUGGAGCAAUAACGGGGUCUGGGAUGGGGAUUUGGGAGUCAGAAAGGGGGAUUUGGGGUCAUAGAGGGGGCUGCAGGUCCUGGCAGGGCAACCCUUUGUGCCGCAUGUCACUGUUAUGGGAUUUGAGGCUCCAGAAGUGGGAUUUGGUGCUCCAGAAGUGGGAUUUGGGGCUAUGAGAUGGGGUUUUCGGGGUCUGGGAGCGGGAUUUUGGGGUCAGAAAGGGGAUUGGGGGCCACUUUGGGGCCUACCCUCGCGCCUCAUGCCGCUGGCCAGGCACUUCUGGUAGCGGCAGUACUGGCAGCGGUUGCGCUGCCGCUUGUCCACCACGCAGUCGCGGUUGUCCCGGCAGCUGUAGCUCAGGUCCUUCCGGAUCGUCCUCUUGAAGAAGCCCUUGCAGCCCUCGCAGCUGUACACGCCGUAGUGCUUCCCUGCGGGUCGGGGGGCAGGGGUCAAAGGUGGGGGUCACCGGGGUCAUGGGGGACAUCGUCGGGGUCAGUGGGGUCGUGGAAGUCUUCAUUGGGGUCACUGGGGUCAUGGGGGACAUCNNNNNNNNNNNNNNNNNNNNNNNNNNNNNNNNNNNNNAUGGAAGUCAUCACUGGGGUCAUCAUUGGGGUCACUGGGGUCAUCUUUGGGGUGAUGGAAAUCAUCAUUGGGGUCAUCUUUGGGGUCACUGGGGUCAUCUUUGGGGUCAUGGAAGUCAUCAUUGGGGUCACCGGGGCCAUGGGGGACAUCAUUGGGGUCAGUGGGGUCGUGAAAGUCUUCAUUGGGGUCACUGGGGUCAUGGGGGACAUCGUUGGGGUCAUC